AAAAUGGCUGGGUUAUUUUUUAACCCAAAAUGCUGGGUUGAGUCUGUUGGGUUGUUUUGCUGGGUUAAUUUUUAACAUUUUAAACACUUUUUGGGUAGUUUCAGUUUUCUGGUUGUUGGGUUAAAACUGCUGGGUUAUUAUACUGGGUUGUUUGAAGAGGCUCACGUGCUUCGCGCCUUUGAUGUUUGAAUGUGCUCAGCAACGGUCGUCGUGAAAGGACAGAGUCACUGGAAGCAGUUGUUUCAAGAGAGUGCAGAGUUUUUAUGUCCAUCCAUUAAUAAGGCUAGCAAGACCUUCAUACAACUUCAGCCAAUUGCAACAAAUGUGGUGGAAGUUCUUCUCUGGACAGAAUCCUCGAAAUCCUUUCCUUUAUUUCCUGGCCAUGGGAAACAUGCAAUCAGUCUCUCUGAUGGAGCCAAUACGGAAGUGACUUAAACUGCAAUUCAGCCAAGAUGGCGACGGCACGCACCGCCUACUUUAGGCUUCAAAAAUGCUCUUCACAAUCAAUGGGUGACAUCACGGACACUACUUUCAUAUUUUUUUUCAGUCUAUGGUUUAAAGGCAUUUUACGUGCUUGAAAAUAAAUACCCCAGGCAAUGUGCAUCUACUGUAGUCUGUCAUUUUCCAAAUGGAUGAAUCCUCUGCUGUUCGGUUCCUUUGUACA
Molecule: long non-coding RNA, 664 nt
Organism: Paramisgurnus dabryanus
Lineage: Eukaryota; Metazoa; Chordata; Actinopteri; Cypriniformes; Cobitidae
Source: RefSeq, a predicted model, not a curated record